Molecule: ribosomal RNA, 274 nt
Filed under: uncultured bacterium
Lineage: Bacteria
Description: partial 16S ribosomal RNA
Rfam family: Bacterial small subunit ribosomal RNA
Source: RNAcentral
AUACGGAGGGUGCAAGCGUUGUCCGGAUUUAUUGGGUUUAAAGGGUGUGUAGGCGGUGUAUUAAGUCAGUGGUGAAAGCCUGCGGCUCAACCGUAGAACUGCCUUUGAUACUGACACACUUGAGUAUGGACGAGGUAGGCGGAAUUUAUGGUGUAGCGGUGAAAUGCAUAGAUACCAUAAAGAACACCGAUAGCGAAGGCAGCUUACUAGGCCAUAACUGACGCUGAGGCACGAAAGCGUGGGGAGCGAACAGGAUUAGAAACCCUGGUAGUCC